Molecule: ribosomal RNA, 89 nt
Filed under: Melittobia digitata
Lineage: Eukaryota; Metazoa; Arthropoda; Insecta; Hymenoptera; Eulophidae
Description: partial 5.8S ribosomal RNA
Source: RNAcentral
UGUGAACUGCAGGACACAUGAACAUCGACAUUUCGAACNCACAUUGCGGUCCUCGGAUACGAAUCCCGGACCACGCCUGGCUGAGGGUC